Molecule: ribosomal RNA, 389 nt
Filed under: uncultured bacterium
Lineage: Bacteria
Description: bacterial SSU rRNA
Rfam family: Bacterial small subunit ribosomal RNA
Source: RNAcentral
AUUGAACGCUGGCGGCAUGCCUUACACAUGCAAGUCGAACGGCAGCACGGGAGCUUGCUCCUGGUGGCGAGUGGCGAACGGGUGAGUAAUACAUCGGAACGUACCCUGAAGUGGGGGAUAACGUAGCGAAAGUUACGCUAAUACCGCAUAUUCUGUGAGCAGGAAAGAGGGGGAUCGCAAGACCUCUUGCUUUAGGAGCGGCCGAUGUCGGAUUAGCUAGUUGGUGAGGUAAAGGCUCACCAAGGCGACGAUCCGUAGCGGGUCUGAGAGGAUGAUCCGCCACACUGGGACUGAGACACGGCCCAGACUCCUACGGGAGGCAGCAGUGGGGAAUUUUGGACAAUGGGCGCAAGCCUGAUCCAGCCAUGCCGCGUGAGUGAAGAAGGCCC